UGAGAAGAGAGCAAGUUAUGGCCACAGC
This 28-nucleotide non-coding RNA is filed under the name Homo sapiens (human). The record is from RNAcentral. Lineage: Eukaryota; Metazoa; Chordata; Mammalia; Primates; Hominidae.